This 490-nucleotide ribosomal RNA is filed under the name uncultured bacterium. RNAcentral's name for it is "partial 16S ribosomal RNA". It matches the Rfam family "Bacterial small subunit ribosomal RNA", at positions 28 to 507 of the family's 1533-position model. The record is from RNAcentral.
GAUGAACGCUAGCGGUAGGCUUAACACAUGCAAGUCGAGGGGCAGCAUGGUCUUAGCUUGCUAAGACUGAUGGCGACCGGCGCACGGGUGCGUAACGCGUAUGCAACUUGCCUCACAGAGGGGGAUAACCCGUCGAAAGACGGACUAAUACCGCGUACACUUGGGAUAGGGCAUCCUGACCCAAGGAAAUGAAAUUCGCUGUGAGAUAGGCAUGCGUCCCAUUAGCUAGUUGGUGAGGUAACGGCUCACCCAGGCGACGAUAGGUAUGGGAACUGAGAGGUUGAUACCCGACACGGGAGCUGAGACACGGACCAGAGUCCUACGGGACGCAGCAGUGUGGUAUAGUGGGCAAUGGGGGAGAGCCUGAGCCAGCCAAGUCGCGUGAGAGAGGACUGUCUUAUGGAUGGUAAGCAUGUUUUAUGCGGGAAAAGCAAGAUCAACGUGUGGCUCCCUGAAUGUACCGUAUGAAUAAGCACCGGCUAACUCCGUG